GGCGCUCCAGGGUGGGACCGAGGGACAUUCCGGGACCAACCAGCAGGAGGCGUGGCAGCGGGAGAAUGGCAUACUACAAAAGAUGAAGAGUACUCACUUGAGGACUGAUCCUGUGAGCUGCUGAUUGCUUCCAUCUCCCACAGGCCUCAAGAGUUGUUGGGUGUGCUCACUGUUUUGCAUGGUUGGGCUCUUGGAGCUGACCUCCAUCGUGUUUUCAUAAAGUUUUAAGUGGAAGCUGACCAAAGUAGCCUGUGAUCCCACGGACUUCAGUGGGUGCCCAGAGACUGCAGUACUGUAUUGAAGAGUUCUGGGGCCCUGUGCACUAUGGAAAUGGCAUCCCCUGACACACACCUGAAAGGUGCUGUGACCUGGUGUGAGGAGCCACAGGCUGCCCUGCUCAAGUGUGACGUGUUUUGCCCCUGCUGGCUACUAACAGCUUUCAGAUAGCACAACAGUUGCAUUCUCUUCAAUAUUAAUCCAGAAAUAGAUCCUGCAGUUGAUUCAACCUAGCUGAGGUCUGUUUCAGGUUAUGCAUCACCCCGCUUCUUUCUGGCUGUUGCCGUCUUCUUCCAGAGAACAUGUGUGUGUUGCUCCCAAGAGUUUAUGUGGUUUCUGGUUUGGAAUGGAGCACCCGUAGCAGGAACAGCAGAGCAGAAUGUGUUUAUGAGCAGGGAUGGUCAUGCAUGGCAGCCGGAACUCUGAGGUCAUUCUUUCCCUGUCCUAAACAAGAGACUGACAGUAGUGUUAAAAUUGCUUGCUGGAGAACAUAGAAUACCAUGCUCCUCAACCACAUCAAAGGUGACUGGAACCACUGCUUUGCUCAAAACACCACCAUAGAUUUAUUGGCUGCAUCUUUCAUGGACUAAAUGAAAAUGUAUGAAGACAAUAGGUCAGCUUUUGAGGAUCAUAGACUCUUCAUCAUGUUCUGGCAAAGUAGACCUGGUAAUGAAAGCAAAACUGGCAGCAUGUUUGCUAAGAUGGUAUUUUUUAGGCAAAUACAAAA
Long non-coding RNA from Mauremys reevesii (Reeves's turtle), 1003 nucleotides. RefSeq lists it as uncharacterized. The transcript is spliced from 6 exons. The record is from RefSeq and is a predicted model, not a curated record. Lineage: Eukaryota; Metazoa; Chordata; Testudines; Geoemydidae.